CCCUUAGAUGUCCGGGGCUGCACGCGCGCUACACUGUAGAACGCAGCGUGCUUUAAAACCUUUCCUGAAAAGGAUGGGUAACCCCAGCAAAAUUCUACGUGCUUGGGAUAGAGAUUUGCAAUUUUCUCUCUUGAACGAGGAAUUCCCAGUAAGUGCGAGUCAUCAGCUCGCGUUGAUUACGUCCCUGCCCUUUGUACACACCGCCCGUCGCUACUACCGAUUGGGAAAAUUUUAGAGAGUCCUGGACUGAUGAUUGUUCGGCUUCACGGCCUUACUUUCGUCGGGAAAGAAUUCGAUAAUAUUUUUCUAGAGGAAGUAAAAGUCGUAACA
This 330-nucleotide ribosomal RNA is filed under the name uncultured eukaryote. RNAcentral describes it as "partial 18S ribosomal RNA". It matches the Rfam family "Eukaryotic small subunit ribosomal RNA", at positions 1470 to 1796 of the family's 1831-position model. The record is from RNAcentral.